This 420-nucleotide ribosomal RNA is filed under the name uncultured bacterium. RNAcentral describes it as "bacterial SSU rRNA". It matches the Rfam family "Bacterial small subunit ribosomal RNA", at positions 355 to 774 of the family's 1533-position model. The record is from RNAcentral.
UAAGGAAUAUUGCUCAAUGGGAGAAAUCCUGAAGCAGCAACGCCGCGUGGAGGAUGAAGGGUCUAUGACUUGUAAACUCCUGUAAAGAAGGAAAAAAUUCCCAUUUGAUGGGAGAUGAUGGUACUUCUGGAGUAAGCCCCGGCUAACUACGUGCCAGCAGCCGCGGUAAUACGUAGGGGGCAAGCGUUGUCCGGAUUUACUGGGUGUAAAGGGUGCUCAGGCUGAUUUGUAAGUCAGAGGUGAAAUCUUACAGCUUAACUGUGAAACUGCCUUUGAUACUGCAAGCCUAGAGUAUGGAAGAGAGUGAUGGAAUAUCUGGUGUAGCAGUGAAAUGCGUAGAUAUCAGAUAGAACACCAAUGGCGAAGGCAGUCACUUGGUCCAUUACUGACGCUAAAGCACGAAAGCGUGGGUAGCAAACA